UGCCAGCAGCCGCGGUAAUACGAAGGGGGCUAGCGUUGUUCGGAAUUACUGGGCGUAAAGCGCGCGUAGGCGGCUUGAUCAGUCAGAGGUGAAAUCCCGGGGCUCAACCCCGGAACUGCCUUUGAUACUGUCAAGCUAGAGCUCGGAAGAGGGUGGCGGAAUAUCCAGUGUAGAGGUGAAAUUCGUAGAUAUUGGAUAGAACACCAGUGGCGAAGGCGGCCACCUGGUCCGUAGCUGACGCUGAGGUGCGAAAGCGUGGGGAGCAAACAGGAUUAGAAACCCCCGUAGUCC
Molecule: ribosomal RNA, 291 nt
Filed under: uncultured bacterium
Lineage: Bacteria
Description: partial 16S ribosomal RNA
Rfam family: Bacterial small subunit ribosomal RNA
Source: RNAcentral